AAGCAUGAUUCCGCCUUUUAAUUGUUAAAUGCAUGCUAUAGAUGUUAUUCAAUUGAACAUGUUUUCACAAAAUAAUCCUUCAAGUGGUAUCAGAGCCUAGGUCUAGUAGUUGGUGAAUCCUUUUGGGUUUUGUGGUUAAUAGUUUGUAAUUGAAAAGUUGUAAUAUGUUACAAGCUUUAUUCUUGUUUCUUUGAAUGUAAAUUUUGUUAGAAAAUUUGCCAUCUCAAAUUUUGUUGAUGUAGUUCUUAUGAGCAUGAAUAUUGGAGCUAAAAUUUGGUGCCAUGUUUUUGGGAAUUUUCGGCCAAAUCCAAAGGGUGGAUUUUUGGGUUCUUGUUUGACUUGUUAAAAGUGUUUUCAAGUAACUUUUGGAACCCCUAUGUACCCUAGUUUGGUUAUAUGUUAUUUCCCUAAAGUUUGAAUGGUUUUGGGAUGUUUUUGGAGUAAAAAUGUUCAUGGAAAUUUUUGGAUUUUUUCAUGAAUGUUCUUCAUUGUUCUUGACAUUUUUGCCAAGAACAAAAAGUUUUGUGUUUUGAUUCAAAGUUUUGAUUUAUUUCAUAAAGUUUUUGUUUUAUGUUUUUCAAAUGAUUUAAUGUGUUAGAUAUUUGUUUAAAUGGUGGUAGAAAUAAUGGUGGGUGUGAAAGGAUUAAUUCCCUUUCACACACACCACUUGCACCUCUUGCUUGCUUUAUGUCAAAACUCACAACUCAACACACACAUCACUCCUUUCCCUCUCCAAAACCAGCCACCCUACAUGUAGGGUACUUUUGGGGCUUUUAUGCAAUUACAUAAAGUUUUGAUACUUUUGUGAAUUUGCACUUUGGCCCAAAAGUUUACGUUUUUACGU
RNAcentral lists this long non-coding RNA (844 nucleotides) under Malus domestica (apple). Its description in RNAcentral is "long non-coding RNA (MDOM_LNC019696)". The record is from RNAcentral. Lineage: Eukaryota; Viridiplantae; Streptophyta; Magnoliopsida; Rosales; Rosaceae.